AUGAUCUGCUGGAAGCUAGGGUGUGGACAUUGGGACAGCAGCUGUGUCUUCCAACUGGAUCUAGGCUCUUCUCCAAGCAGGUACCCUGACCUCCACUGCAGAGCCAGUUCAGCUGGCCCACUUCACGUGAAGCUCAAAAUCUGUGUCAAAAAGUUGUGUUAUUCACGGUACUGAGCACAUGGAGUCGAGGAGGCUGAGAGGAAAGCUGCAAGUUGCCAGCAUGUCCUUUAGGGAAGAAGGCCACUUGCCUCGUUAAGGGAUGCCCUCGAUUAGUCUCCCUCUGGACUAAAGGCCCAGUGCAGCCAUGGGACAAGGCAGUAUUUACACAAAGCACAGGAGAUGCGUCAGAGCAGGAAAUACAAGGGUAAGUGAAACUAGUUUCAGAAGAAAGGACUGGAAAGUAGAGCUUAGCAGUCAGACGAUUCCUAUUCAGAAACAAAGUCAUUGUUAUUUUGAGAGUCUUGUUUCAUGAAUGAUAUGUGUAUCUGAGAUAUUUUCCCUGUUAUGAGAAGCAAAAUAUUUUUAUUAUUUUUUUUUUAAUCCCAGCAAGCAUCAUGCAGAGCUGAUAUUUUAGCCUUUCAGCAGGAAUGCUCCCAAGCAGCUGUCUGGGGGAUGCGGUCUGACAGCUUUGGGGCUGUGCAGGUGGCAGGCAGUGGGA
Molecule: long non-coding RNA, 658 nt
Filed under: Calidris pugnax (ruff)
Lineage: Eukaryota; Metazoa; Chordata; Aves; Charadriiformes; Scolopacidae
Description: lncRNA (ENSCPUG00000011315.1)
Source: RNAcentral